RNAcentral lists this transfer RNA (74 nucleotides) under Otolemur garnettii (small-eared galago). It matches the Rfam family "tRNA". From Rfam's summary of the family: Transfer RNA (tRNA) molecules are approximately 80 nucleotides in length. Their secondary structure includes four short double-helical elements and three loops (D, anti-codon, and T loops). Lineage: Eukaryota; Metazoa; Chordata; Mammalia; Primates; Galagidae. The record is from Rfam by way of RNAcentral.
GUGCCUGUGGCUCAGAGGCAUAGGGCACUGGCCCCAUAUGCCAGAGGUGGUGGGUUCAAACCCAGCCAAAAACU